RNAcentral lists this long non-coding RNA (945 nucleotides) under Apteryx rowi (Okarito brown kiwi). RNAcentral's name for it is "lncRNA (ENSARWG00000015095.1)". The record is from RNAcentral. Lineage: Eukaryota; Metazoa; Chordata; Aves; Apterygiformes; Apterygidae.
AGUAAAAAUGUCGUUUCCUCGAGACUGUCUGACCUUGUUUCUCUUAGUUUGCUCCUUAUCAGAUACCAGUCACCAUCCUUGGACAGACCCUUGCAACUCAGUGCCUUCACAGGGAGUCAAGAUGGCUUUAACUGGCUGUGAUGCUUUUGGUUUGCGUGACCUGACAAAAAGCUGUGUCACGUCAAUUUAUAGACUGGUGGGAUGCCACUGUAUUGAGAUCAUCGUGUUCAGUUUGGUGCAAGUUACUCAGUGUCUUGCCACGGCUUUUCUGAGCAGACAUCCUGCAGAUAUCUGGUUCUCACAGCACAGCGGCAUUCUUUCCCUGGCAAGGAAGAGAGCUGGAAGGCUGGUUCUGCACAUCUGGCAGAAGGCAAAUGUCUUUGGACAAGAUUUUGUAGAAGAAAACCAUGUCCAUGGUGAGGAGUAUCUGGAUAUAAAUUUGGAAUAUGUGUAGACUGAGAGCACAAAACUUCUUUGUGGGAUAAAACUGCUUGAUACACAAAUAGCACUGAGUAUUUUGACUGAAGCUUGUUAUUUUGUCUGCUUCACAAAAACUCAGCAACUGUUCCCAGAUAGCUAUAAUGGAAUUUUUCUUAGCUGUGUAUAUGAAGUUUCAGUUGCUGUGCAGCAUCUUAAUACAAGCCUCUAAAAGCUAUGUUAAACAUUUAAAGUGCACUUAAUCAUCUGCCAGAAAUGUACAAAGGCAUAAUAUCUCAUUAAUAAUUAUUAAAUCAUUGAGUYGUGCAGAGAGAGAUGUUCCGUCUUAACUUGCAUAGUGGUAAAACACAGGUCAUUUACCAAGCAUGCAAUAGCACAUCAGAUAUUGGACUUCUGUUGAAAGGAAAUAACAGAGCUUUAUUAGAGGAUAUGUCUUAGUAAAGGAAGCAAGUACAUGGUGAUUGAAACAAUGUUCAGCCAUAGCAAACAAUCUAGUUUCUAUACUCC